GUCGGGAGUCUUGCACAAUGGGGGAAACCCUGAUGCAGCGACGUCGCGUGUGGGAUGACGUAUUUCGGUAUGUAAACCACUUUUGAAUGGGACGAAGACAGUGACGGUACCAUUCGAAUAAGCCCCGGCUAACUACGUGCCAGCAGCCGCGGUAAUACGUAGGGGGCGAGCGUUGCUCGGAUUCACUGGGCGUAAAGCGCGCGUAGGCGGCUUGUUAAGUGGGAAGUUAAAGACCCCGGCUCAACCGGGGGGCUGCUUCUCAAACUGGCAGGCUCGAGUGUAGGAGAGGGAAGUGGAAUUCCUGGUGUAGCGGUGAAAUGCGUUGAUAUCAGGAGGAACACCAAUGGCGAAGGCAGCUUCCUGGCCUACUACUGACGCUGAGGCGCGAAAGCGUGGGGAGCGAACGGGAUUAGAUACCCGGGUAGUCC
This 428-nucleotide ribosomal RNA is filed under the name uncultured bacterium. Its description in RNAcentral is "bacterial SSU rRNA". It matches the Rfam family "Bacterial small subunit ribosomal RNA", at positions 354 to 796 of the family's 1533-position model. The record is from RNAcentral.